UACGAACUGUGCGAACGUUAUUCGGAAUCACUGGGCUUACAGGGUGCGUAGGCGGCUUGUUAAGUAGGGUGUGAAAGCCCCCGGCUCAACCGGGGAAUUGCGCCCUAAACUGGCGAGCUGGAGUGAGAUAGGGGUGUGUGGAACUUCCGGUGGAGCGGUGAAAUGUGUUGAUAUCGGAAGGAACGCCGGUGGCGAAAGCGACGUGCUGGACCUCUUCUGACGCUGAGGCGCGAAAGCCAGGGGAGCAAACGGG
RNAcentral lists this ribosomal RNA (253 nucleotides) under uncultured bacterium. RNAcentral describes it as "partial 16S ribosomal RNA". It matches the Rfam family "Bacterial small subunit ribosomal RNA", at positions 524 to 776 of the family's 1533-position model. The record is from RNAcentral.